GAUCACUGGAUUGUCUUCUGCGUUUGGUUUUGACAGCCAGGGUAGGAACUUUUAGCACGCAGCGAGGACAGGGACCAGCCAUUGGGGAUUUGAGCGAAUGUUUCGUCUUGGAUUCUGUUGAAGUGUAUACUUAACUGUUGGAACUGUGCUGGCAAUGACAGCCUCUGACACUCUGCAGAGCAGAAGACCCCAGUGUAGGAAUGGCAGUGCCUAUUCUGAAAGUGAGAAGAAAAAAUAGCUGCGAGGUCUCCCCAAUCUGGAAUGUGUUCCGGCUUUGGAUCGGAGGACUGUGCUGGUUUUCUUCAGAAAAUUCCUCUCUUUUCUGGCUGCCUCCCUGCAAGUACAAAAAUGAGCCAAGUAGGGGGAAAUUCUCUUCAGAAAACUAAGGCGAAGGGGUCUUUUUGAAAUUUGUACAUUCUCACUGACUAAGAAGGGCUAAUUCCACCCCCACUUUGGUCGAUUCCCAAAUGGAAUAUCUUUGGGUUGGGAGAUGAGGUGCUGCAAUUUCCUUCCACGUGAGAGAUUUCUAUGCAUGGAUGGGCAAAAUACACAAGGAUGAAGCUUACCCCAUUCUGGGUUCUUAUGAAAUUUAUCUUGCUGUUCCUGGAAAACCAGAGACCUCCUCCUCAUCCCCCCCCCCCGGCUCAAUAACGAUCUUGCUGGCAACUUUUUCCACAUUCCUUUGUACUCCAGGGUGUUCAUUUCACCUUCGUCGGAGUUGUGGGUAUGUAAGAAGGAACCAGACUGAAUAGACCCUUCUCUCUUUGCUGGUGUAUUUAUGAUGGGCUUGUGGUUUUCUGCAACCUGGUGGUGGUAACGUGUCAGGGCGUGUAUUUGACUGAAGACAUGUGUAGUUUAAACAACUCUUACCAAUAUGCCUUUCCCCUUCAUAAGCUGCUGAGGGCUGGUGUGUCUCAGCUGGCAUGCCUCUAUGCACAGAAGUCAGGCACGCGUAAGGAAUCUGGGGCGCUUCGUGACCAUAUAAGUGCAGAUGCAUUUUUGACAAGGGAGCAGUUGGCAGUUUGGCACUGGGGCACCGAGCACUUUUGAAGCUGACUGCAGAAACCAUUUAUCACUGAGCAGCCUUCUCCAGUCCCUGCUUGCAGACAUUCACAAUGCCCCUG
Zootoca vivipara (common lizard) is the source of this 1124-nucleotide long non-coding RNA. RefSeq lists it as uncharacterized. Lineage: Eukaryota; Metazoa; Chordata; Lepidosauria; Squamata; Lacertidae. The record is from RefSeq and is a predicted model, not a curated record.